RNAcentral lists this ribosomal RNA (253 nucleotides) under uncultured bacterium. RNAcentral's name for it is "partial 16S ribosomal RNA". It matches the Rfam family "Bacterial small subunit ribosomal RNA", at positions 524 to 776 of the family's 1533-position model. The record is from RNAcentral.
UACGUAGGGUGCGAGCGUUAAUCGGAAUUACUGGGCGUAAAGUGUGCGCAGGCGGCCGAGCAAGUCGAGUGUGAAAGCCCCGGGCUUAACUUGGGAAUUGCGCUCGAAACUACUUGGCUGGAGUGUGGCAGAGGAAGGUGGAAUUCCAGGUGUAGCGGUGAAAUGCGUAGAGAUCUGGAGGAACACCGAUGGCGAAGGCAGCCUUCUGGGCCAACACUGACGCUCAAACACGAAAGCUAGGGUGGCGAACGGG